UGAGUUUUUAAUAUUAGUGUGUGUGUGUGGGUAUGUGUGCGCGGUUGUGUGCAUUUCAAGGUACACUGAAAACGCUUUAGUCCACAUUAAUAGUGACGGCAUUGUGACAGCGCAGCGAGUAACGAAUAAAACGUGAAACCAAUACUUGUGUAAUUUGCCGAAUGAAAAGAAAGUCCAAAAACAAAUUUGUCCUAGACGACUAUGUGUAGUGAGUGCUGAGUGCUUUGUAUGCCUUAUGUGUGUUGAAAUAGAAAUGGAAAAACAACAAAUUCGUGGAGAUCCAAUGAACGAUCGUCAAUGUGACAACAAUAGCCACAGCUAAAGUGACUGCAAAUAGUGGCCGCAGCUGGCUCGUCUAGCAGGCCGCAGCAAAAUCAUAACGCAACGAACGACCAACGGACGAACAUUGGAAUUAACACAGCACACGCUUUGCCAGCAAAUUUUAGAAACAACAACAACAGCAUCAACAGUCAACCACCACAGCGCUGUGCCAAAUGAAAACUCAACGAAAUGAUAUUUUAAAUCAUCACAUUAAAAAUAACUUUAGAAAAGUGAAAAAAGAACAUAAAUGAAUGCGCUAAAAGAAAAAAUUUAAAGAAAAAAUGUCAGCAAAAAUUAAAAAAUAAUAAAGUAAAAAUACUAUAACGGAAAUUGUGUGAUCCACAUAGUAUAUAUAUAUAUAUUGGCGGUUUUACGAAAAUGUGUAUGUGAAAUUUAUUUGAAUUUCGACAAAAAUAACGCAAAUUUCUGUGGUGGUGACGGCAAAAGCGACAGC
This is a long non-coding RNA of Ceratitis capitata (Mediterranean fruit fly), 775 nucleotides long. RefSeq lists it as uncharacterized. NCBI's taxonomy places the organism in Eukaryota, Metazoa, Arthropoda, Insecta, Diptera, Tephritidae. The record is from RefSeq and is a predicted model, not a curated record. The transcript has 2 exons.